CCCUUAGAUGUUCUGGGCCGCACGCGCGCUACACUGAUGCGCUCAACGAGUUUACGACCUUGCCCGGAAGGGUUGGGUAAUCUUUUUAAAACGCAUCGUGAUGGGGAUAGAUUAUUGCAAUUAUUAAUCUUUAACGAGGAAUUCCCAGUAAGCGCGAGUCAUAAGCUCGCGUUGAUUACGUCCCUGCCCUUUGUACACACCGCCCGUCGCUACUACCGAUUGAACGGUUUAGUGAGGGCCUCGGAUUGGUCUCGGCCCGCUCUUUACCGGGCGGCGCCGUUGGUCGAGAAGACGCUCGAACUUGAUCGUUUAGAGGAAGUAAAAGUCGUAACA
RNAcentral lists this ribosomal RNA (333 nucleotides) under uncultured eukaryote. RNAcentral describes it as "partial 18S ribosomal RNA". It matches the Rfam family "Eukaryotic small subunit ribosomal RNA", at positions 1470 to 1796 of the family's 1831-position model. The record is from RNAcentral.